Molecule: small nuclear RNA, 131 nt
Organism: Procambarus clarkii (red swamp crayfish)
Lineage: Eukaryota; Metazoa; Arthropoda; Malacostraca; Decapoda; Cambaridae
Product: U11 spliceosomal RNA
Source: RefSeq, a predicted model, not a curated record
UAAAAGGGUGUCUGCCGUACUAAGUGGCACUUGGGACUUCGGUUCCUCGGGGUAUGGCCAUCAAGACAUACCCGACACAUAAUUUUUUAUUAAAGCAGGGAAGUUUGCAUGCUCCGCGCUCGGACACCCUG